AACUACCUACCAGCAGCUUCUGAAGUUGGUCAUCCAGGUUUCCAGAUUCCUGACUGAACUGAUCACGCUCGGUGCGGGCCUCAUUCAAUUCUGAGUUGGCCAGGACUAACUGUUUCUCAAGAUCUUCUAUCUAAAGGGAUAAUAUCCCACCAGCCACUAUCCACCUUGGCCCUUCUCUGAGGGUGUGCUAUGUACCACUCAUCCCAGUCACAAAAAUGUCUAGUUAUGGCUCUGCAGAGAAUACUACCACUACCAUAUAUACACAUAUGUUUGAUUGGGGCUUGGAUUUAAAGUCCCAAAAGGCUUCUUCACGUCUAACAGUCUUUGGGAGUCAGUCUAGGAGUGAUGUCCAUAUGUACUACAUCACAAUAAUACCUAUACCAUUCACUUGCCCUACCUCCUCACCAAAAUAAAAGAUAACCUGUUAACUGUCAAA
Monodelphis domestica (gray short-tailed opossum) is the source of this 436-nucleotide long non-coding RNA. RefSeq lists it as uncharacterized. The record is from RefSeq and is a predicted model, not a curated record. Lineage: Eukaryota; Metazoa; Chordata; Mammalia; Didelphimorphia; Didelphidae.